This is a long non-coding RNA of Cynoglossus semilaevis (tongue sole), 941 nucleotides long. RefSeq lists it as uncharacterized. The transcript is spliced from 2 exons. Lineage: Eukaryota; Metazoa; Chordata; Actinopteri; Pleuronectiformes; Cynoglossidae. The record is from RefSeq and is a predicted model, not a curated record.
AAAAAUUAAAUUAAAAAGGUCAACUUAAAAAAAUUAGGAAAAGAUAAAAAAAAAAGUAAAUUAAAAAUUUGACAGUGUGAGCAUUACAGGUUCAAACGUCACGACCAGAUGUGCUGAGGUUUGUUGUCAAGGCAACAAAAACUCCAACUUUGUUGGAAAAGUUAAUGAGCUUCUUCGUCUUCGUCUUCGUCUUCGUCGGCGAGACUGGGAUCCAACGAUCCUUCAAAUCGACCAACCAAAACUGUGGAGCAUCCAUCUCAACCAGGAUCAGGAUAUUUAACAUACACCAGGACGUUUACGUCUGUCCUCUGGUCUCAGUAACUGGAAUCUGUCCCUGCAGAGUCAAAGUGUGCAGGGCCUGACUGGUUACUGCACCCAGGGGUCAGCUGACCUCCCAAAAACAGCCACCCUGCAGCGUCUGCACCGAGCACCGCCGCCUCACUCUGAUCAGGACGAGCUCUGAGUCACGUCAUCUGGACCGAAUUGUCUUCUUCUCUUUCCCCCCGCGGGCACAGUGAGCUGGAUGUGGAUUCGUGGAAGAUGUUGUAAUUUCCUGAGAAUUCUUGGAUCAGAGAUAGAGAGAGAGAGAGAGAGAGAGAGAGAGAGAGUAUAAACGCAGCAGCUGCAGCGUCAGCUGAUUCAGUGACCUGGGAACGUGGUUCCGUCACAUUAUAAUAGAGUUCCAUGUUGUUGUUUCCACAGAACGCUGGAUCCACCUGCAGAACACUUGUCUCCCCAAGUACCAGUACAUGUACAGUACAGUACUAUUACUCCAUAUACCAGGAACACACACACACACACGGAAAGCAACAUAGCCUGCAGACGAAGUUUCAGAUUCAGCUGAGUACCACUAGAGGGAGCUCAAGUACCACCCAGUGUACCCACACCACAGUUUGUCAUUGAUUCUAUAGAAUAAAUAAAUAAAACACAAUGAUGACAGA